UGCAAGUUGAACGUGAUUUGCUGGGUGCUUGCACCGAGCAAUGAAAGUAGCGCACUGGUGAGUAACACGUGGGAACGUACCUUUUGGUGGGGAACAACAGUUGGAAACGACUGCUAAUACCGUAUAAGCCCUGAGGGGGAAAGAUUUAUCGCCGAAAGAACGGCCCGCGGAAGAUUAGGUAGUUGGUGGGGUAACGGCCUACCAAGCCGACGAUCUAUAGCUGGUCUGAGAGGACGAUCAGCCACAUUGGAACUGAGACACGGUCCAAACUCCUACGGGAGGCAGCAGUGAGGAAUAUUGGGCAAUGGAGGCAACUCUGACCCAGCCAUGCCGCGUGAGUGAAGAAGGUUUUCGGAUUGUAAAGCUCUUUCGGGUGUGACGAUGAUGACGGUAGCACCUAAAGAAGCCCCGGCUAACUUCGUGCCAGCAGCCGCGGUAAUACGAAGGGGGCAAGCGUUGUUCGGAAUUACUGGGCGUAAAGGGAGUGUAGGCGGUUAUGUAAGAUAGUGGUGAAAUCCCAGAGCUUAACUUUGGAAUUGCCAUUAUGACUAUGUGGCUAGAAUUACAGAGAGGAUAGUGGAAUACCCAGUGUAGAGGUGAAAUUCGUAGAUAUUGGGUAGAACACCAGUGGCGAAGGCGACUGUCUGGCUGUAUAUUGACGCUGAGGCUCGAAAGCAUGGGGAUCAAACAGGAUUAGAUACCCUGGUAGUCCAUGCUGUAAACGAUGAGUGCUUGUUGUCGGUAUUGUAUCGGUGACGAAGUUAACGCGUUAAGCACUCCGCCUGGGGAGUACGGUCGCAAGAUUAAAACUCAAAGGAAUUGACGGGGACCCGCACAAGCGGUGGAGCAUGUGGUUUAAUU
This 861-nucleotide ribosomal RNA is filed under the name uncultured bacterium. RNAcentral's name for it is "bacterial SSU rRNA". It matches the Rfam family "Bacterial small subunit ribosomal RNA", at positions 56 to 951 of the family's 1533-position model. The record is from RNAcentral.